UAUAAAAUGCCUGAAAAAGGAUUAUUCUGAUAGAAUAAAUUAUGUAAUUAAAAUUACUUUUAUAA
Molecule: transfer RNA, 65 nt
Filed under: Gilpinia sp. 2 GYN-2022c
Lineage: Eukaryota; Metazoa; Arthropoda; Insecta; Hymenoptera; Diprionidae
Also listed under: 2 other names
Description: tRNA-Ile
Source: RNAcentral